RNAcentral lists this ribosomal RNA (484 nucleotides) under uncultured bacterium. RNAcentral describes it as "partial 16S ribosomal RNA". It matches the Rfam family "Bacterial small subunit ribosomal RNA", at positions 30 to 507 of the family's 1533-position model. The record is from RNAcentral.
AUUGAACGCUGGCGGCAGGCCUAACACAUGCAAGUCGAGCGGAUGAAGGGAGCUUGCUCCUGGAUUCAGCGGCGGACGGGUGAGUAAUGCCUAGGAAUCUGCCUGGUAGUGGGGGAUAACGUCCGGAAACGGGCGCUAAUACCGCAUAUGUCCUGAGGGAGAAAGUGGGGGAUCUUCGGACCUCACGCUAUCAGAUGAGCCUAGGUCGGAUUAGCUAGUUGGUGGGGUAAAGGCCUACCAAGGGGACGAUCCGUAACUGGUCUGAGAGGAUGAUCAGUCACACGGGAAGUGAGACACGGUCAAGAGUACUAAGGGAGGCAGCAGUGGGGAACAGUGGACAGUGGGCGAAAGCCUGAUCCAGCCAUGCCGAGUGUGUGAAGAAGGUCUUCGGAUUGUAAAGCACGUUAAGGUGGGAGGAAGGGCAGUAAGUUAAGACCUUGCUGUUUUGACGUUACCAACAGAAUAAGCACCGGCUAACUUCGUG